This 595-nucleotide ribosomal RNA is filed under the name Lamychaena hians. RNAcentral's name for it is "partial 16S ribosomal RNA". It matches the Rfam family "Bacterial large subunit ribosomal RNA", at positions 1816 to 2600 of the family's 2925-position model. Lineage: Eukaryota; Metazoa; Mollusca; Bivalvia; Gastrochaenida; Gastrochaenidae. The record is from RNAcentral.
CUCCUCCUGAUGGUUUAUUCAUAGGAGGUAGGCCCUGCCCGGUGCGCACUGUAAGUGCGUUAACGGUUGCGGCAGCACCGUACUAAGGUAGCAUGGUAGAUUGCCCUUUAAUUGGGGGAGAGCACGAAUGGGUUGACGUUGCAGGUGCUGUGUCUGGGGUAUUAUAGAUGGUGGGGCCAAUUUUAUAUGGCCAGCCUAGAUAAACCUACCUUCUAGCUUUUUAGGGUAGGGUGAUCCUAAAAAGCUGGAAGGUAUGGUCCUAGGGGUCAGGUGAGAAAUGAAAAUUUCUUCCAGGUUAAUAGGCCUGGAUGGUUUUAAAAGACGAGAAGACCCUGUCGAGUUUGAAUAGUGUAAGCGGGGGGUCACGUAGCAUGAAGUUUAGCUGGGGCGGCUGCUGAUGAAUAGAUCAUCAGAUACAAUUUACGGAGAUCGAAUGUUGAACUAUAAAAGGGAAAAACUACCGCAGGGAUAACAGGGUCUACUCCUUUCCGAGGACGUAUCGGCUGGGGGAAGACUACCUCGAUGUUGAAUCAGGAUAUCGCCCAUGGUAGCAGAAGCUUGGGUGGAUGGUCUGUUCGCCCAUUAAAAUCCGCCG